AACCACAGCCAUGCCACCCUGAACGCACCCGAUCUCUCUGAUUUUGGAAGCUAAGCAGGUCGGGCCUGGUUAGUCCUCGGAUGGGAGACCGCCUAGGAAGACCAGGUGCCGCAGGCG
Ribosomal RNA from Pteropus vampyrus (large flying fox), 117 nucleotides. Lineage: Eukaryota; Metazoa; Chordata; Mammalia; Chiroptera; Pteropodidae. The record is from Ensembl.